UACGUAGGUGGCGAGCGUUGUCCGGAUUUACUGGGCGUAAAGGGAGCGUAGGCGGACUUUUAAGUGAGAUGUGAGAUACUCGGGCUCAACUUGAGUGCUGCAUUUCAAACUGGAAGUCUAGAGUGCAGGAGAGGAGAAUGGAAUUCCUAGUGUAGCGGUGAAAUGCGUAGAGAUUAGGAAGAACACCAGUGGCGAAAGCGGCUCUCUGGCCUGUAACUGACACUGAGGCUCGAAAGCGUGGGGAGCAAACAGG
Molecule: ribosomal RNA, 253 nt
Filed under: uncultured bacterium
Lineage: Bacteria
Description: partial 16S ribosomal RNA
Rfam family: Bacterial small subunit ribosomal RNA
Source: RNAcentral